UACGAAGGUGGCAAGCGUUGUUCGGAUUUACUGGGCGUACAGGGAGCGUAGGCGGUUGGAUAAGCCCUCCGUGAAAUCUCCAGGCUUAACCUGGAAAGUGCAGAGGGGACCGUUCAGCUAGAGGAUGGGAGAGGAGCGCGGAAUUCCCGGUGUAGCGGUGAAAUGCGUAGAGAUCGGGAGGAAGGCCGGUGGCGAAGGCGGCGCUCUGGGACAUUUCUGACGCUGAGGCUCGAAAGCGUGGGGAGCAAACAGG
RNAcentral lists this ribosomal RNA (253 nucleotides) under uncultured bacterium. RNAcentral describes it as "partial 16S ribosomal RNA". It matches the Rfam family "Bacterial small subunit ribosomal RNA", at positions 524 to 776 of the family's 1533-position model. The record is from RNAcentral.